GUGUCAGCAGCCGCGGUAAUACGGAGGGUGCGAGCGUUGUCCGGAAUCACUGGGCGUAAAGGGCGCGUAGGCGGCCCGUUAAGCGUGUGGUGAAAGCCCGGGGCUCAACUCCGGGUCGGCCAUGCGAACUGGCGGGCUCGAGCACUGUAGAGGCAGGUGGAAUUCCGGGUGUAGCGGUGGAAUGCGUAGAGAUCCGGAAGAACACCGGUGGCGAAGGCGGCCUGCUGGGCAGUAGCUGACGCUGAGGCGCGACAGCGUGGGGAGCAAACAGGAUUAGAAACCCCCGUAGUCC
Molecule: ribosomal RNA, 292 nt
Filed under: uncultured bacterium
Lineage: Bacteria
Description: partial 16S ribosomal RNA
Rfam family: Bacterial small subunit ribosomal RNA
Source: RNAcentral